This is a long non-coding RNA of Manis pentadactyla (Chinese pangolin), 503 nucleotides long. RefSeq lists it as uncharacterized. Lineage: Eukaryota; Metazoa; Chordata; Mammalia; Pholidota; Manidae. The transcript has 3 exons. The record is from RefSeq and is a predicted model, not a curated record.
UGCUGCCCGCCUCCCAGAAGCUGGAGCCUCCUCCCAGCAGGCAGAGCCACCCUGCACCUGAAGACAUCCAGAUUCUCCCCCUGGAGCUGGGGAAGCAUCAGCGGCAGCAGGCGGAGGAGGAACUGUGGAGGCUGCCCCUGCAGCCCCUCUGCUGUGGUCCGGGGACCUCACCCUUCUACUGCCCCGCGGGGCGGGAAAGCCAGGCCUUUGUCUCCACAGCACAGCCAUCCUCCCUCCCAGCUGGAAGUGCCAACGUGAACCCAUCCUGAGAUGCCAAAUCCUGCCGUGGGGGAGGUAGCAUUCCCAUCCCAGGGUGCCCAGCCCAGAAGACCAGCCCAGCCCCCACCUUCUGAUUCUGUGCAGGGGGGUAAGAAGACCAUCAGCCAUUUAUUAUUCCUCAACCAACCUAGAGACUGAAAGUGAGUUGGAACUCACUGUGGACACCGAGUCCAUUCCUUUGGGCAGGGGCUGGACAACCCCUUCCCCUCUGGGGUGCCCACACA